RNAcentral lists this ribosomal RNA (274 nucleotides) under uncultured bacterium. Its description in RNAcentral is "partial 16S ribosomal RNA". It matches the Rfam family "Bacterial small subunit ribosomal RNA", at positions 523 to 796 of the family's 1533-position model. The record is from RNAcentral.
AUACGGAGGGUGCGAGCGUUAAUCGGAAUAACUGGGCGUAAAGCGCGCGUAGGCGGUUUGUUAAGUCGGAUGUGAAAUCCCCGGGCUCAACCUGGGACCUGCAUCCGAUACUGGCAGGCUAGAGUCUGGUAGAGGGGGGUAGAAUUCCUGGUGUAGCGGUGAAAUGCGUAGAUAUCAGGAGGAAUACCAGUGGCGAAGGCGGCCCCCUGGACUGAGACUGACGCUGAGGUGCGAAAGCGUGGGGAGCAAACAGGAUUAGAAACCCGAGUAGUCC